RNAcentral lists this long non-coding RNA (242 nucleotides) under Solanum tuberosum (potato). Its description in RNAcentral is "long non-coding RNA (STUB_LNC010858)". Lineage: Eukaryota; Viridiplantae; Streptophyta; Magnoliopsida; Solanales; Solanaceae. The record is from RNAcentral.
CAAAUCCAAACCCAUAUCCCAUCAUUUAGCAAUGUCGGUGAUAUUUAUCACGUUCAUAUCCGGCGAAGAGUUGAAAUCGAGUAAAUGGACUAGUAUCAGAACGAUUUCUUGAGCUACUGCAAUCAAUACAUUCUUGUCAAGAUAACAACCCAAGAUACGAGUCCAAUAUCGAGUUCUUCGACUCAGUCGUUUUGAUCUGAAACCGAGUCCAAUAUCGAGUUCUUCGACUCAGUCGUUUCGAU